UACGGGGGGAGCAAGCGUUGUUCGGAUUUACUGGGCGUAAAGGGCGCGUAGGCGGCGUGACAAGUCACUUGUGAAAUCUCCGGGCUUAACUCGGAGCGGCCAAGUGAUACUGUCGUGCUAGAGUGCGGAAGGGGCUACUGGAAUUCUCGGUGUAGCGGUGAAAUGCGUAGAUAUCGAGAGGAAUACCGGUGGCGAAGGCGGCAUCCUGGACCGAGAUUGACGCUGAGGAGCGAAAGCUAGGGGAGCAAACGGG
Molecule: ribosomal RNA, 253 nt
Filed under: uncultured bacterium
Lineage: Bacteria
Description: partial 16S ribosomal RNA
Rfam family: Bacterial small subunit ribosomal RNA
Source: RNAcentral